CCGGGUGUAGCUCAACCUGGCAGAGCAUGCGGCUGUAGACCGCAGUGUUGGGAGUUCAAACACGCUGCUGAUGCAGGCGCUUUCAGCUGCGCUGAAAAUCUCUCCACCCGGA
This 112-nucleotide transfer RNA is filed under the name Nanobdellota archaeon. Its description in RNAcentral is "tRNA-Tyr". Lineage: Archaea; Nanobdellati; Nanobdellota. The record is from RNAcentral. RNAcentral also lists the same sequence under 1 other name.